This 492-nucleotide ribosomal RNA is filed under the name uncultured bacterium. RNAcentral's name for it is "partial 16S ribosomal RNA". It matches the Rfam family "Bacterial small subunit ribosomal RNA", at positions 29 to 507 of the family's 1533-position model. The record is from RNAcentral.
AGUGAACGCUGGCGGUAGGCCUAACACAUGCAAGUCGAACGGCAGCACAGUAAGCGCUUGCUCUUACGGGUGGCGAGUGGCGGACGGGUGAGGAAUACAUCGGCAUCUACUUUUUCGUGGGGGACAACGUAGGGCAACUUACGCUAAUACCGCAUACGACCUACGGGUGAAAGCAGGGGAUCUUCGGACCUUGCGCGUUUGAAUGAGCCGAUGUCGGAUUAGCUAGUUGGCGGGGUAAAGGCCCACCAAGGCGACGAUCCGUAGCUGGUCUGAGAGGAUGAUCAGCCACACUGGAACUGAGACACGGUCCAGACUCCUACGGGAGGCAGCAGUGGGGAAUAUUGGACAAUGGGCGCAAGCCUGAUCCAGCCAUGCCGCGUGGGUGAAGAAGGCCUUCGGGUUGUAAAGCCCUUUUGUUGGGAAAGAAAAUCAGCAGGUUAAUACCCCGCUGUUCUGACGGUACCCAAAGAAUAAGCACCGGCUAACUUCGUG